UAUAUAUUGUACAGGAUUUGGUGAUGGUUUCUCUUAUUGGUAUUUUUAUUUCUGUCUUGUGUGAAGUGUGAGAGUGCGUGCGUGCUUGUGUGCAUCAGCGAACCAUUUGCUUUACCCAGGCGACCCGUUUCCCCGCUUCGAACCUGAAGAAAGCCAUGGUCGGUGGUCGUCAUUAUAUGAUCUGCCACUUGGCUUCGAACUCCACACUGAUGCAUAUUCCUCCAUAUUUUGUAUGAGGGUGGAAGACUCCCCACCGUGGUCACAUACCCUAGGCUGCAUUCCCUGGGCUGUAUUACCCUGGGCUAUACUAUCCCGGUCUACACUAUCCUGGUCCGCACUAUCCCGGGCCACAUAUCCUGGUCCGCAUUAUCCCGGUCCACACUAUCCCAAGCUGCCUGACCCCGUGCGACAUGACCCCGGGCUGGACUUCAUCGGACUUCUAUAUAAGAUAUAUAUAUAUCUGUGCAACAGUGAUUUUUAUUUGUUGCAUAUUGAAAAUAUAUAUUGAAUAUAAUGGCAAGUUUACUUCUUCCCCUUUGAAGCAAGCUAUUCCCCAGAGGAUAAAAGAAAAGAACAAGAGCUUAGCUCAUGGUAAUUUCCGACAAGUCUGUUGAAUAAGAGAUCUUGUUACUGAACGAAAUACUAUAUAAAUUAUCAAAUGAGCGGAAACCUUGGACACACACACAUACAGAUAUA
Long non-coding RNA from Penaeus monodon (black tiger shrimp), 696 nucleotides. RefSeq lists it as uncharacterized. NCBI's taxonomy places the organism in Eukaryota, Metazoa, Arthropoda, Malacostraca, Decapoda, Penaeidae. The record is from RefSeq and is a predicted model, not a curated record. The transcript is spliced from 2 exons.